UAAUUUAUGCAAAAUGUCAGCUCUAAUUUUAACCUAAUUUUUCCCUCCAGACUUUUACAUUUAAUGUUUAUCUAAGGUAAAAUAAUAACCUUAGAUAAUCACGGCAUAAAAAAAAAUUCUUCGAAAGAAAAGAUGUUAAAACAACGGAACAUUGUGAUUCAUCAUAAAAUAUGUAUGGGCUGAUUUAGAGAUCAUAUAAUCAGUUUAUGAGAUUAGGAAUUGACAUAAUAUUUAGG
This 236-nucleotide long non-coding RNA is filed under the name Medicago truncatula (barrel medic). Its description in RNAcentral is "long non-coding RNA (MTRU_LNC008145)". The record is from RNAcentral. Lineage: Eukaryota; Viridiplantae; Streptophyta; Magnoliopsida; Fabales; Fabaceae.